This 74-nucleotide transfer RNA is filed under the name Candidatus Woesebacteria bacterium RIFCSPHIGHO2_01_FULL_38_10. RNAcentral describes it as "tRNA-His". It matches the Rfam family "tRNA". From Rfam's summary of the family: Transfer RNA (tRNA) molecules are approximately 80 nucleotides in length. RNAcentral also lists the same sequence under 1 other name. Lineage: Bacteria; Candidatus Woeseibacteriota. The record is from RNAcentral.
GUGGGUGUAGCUCAGCUGGUUAGAGCGCGUGCCUGUGGAGCAUGAGGUCGGCGGUUCAAGUCCGCUCACUCACC